UCAGAUUUAGAGGGCUUUUUGUGCCCACCUUUCAUAAUUUUCUUCAACAUUUCUCAAUGCAAACAAACCCAAACCCUAAAUUUUGAGCUGGGAAUUACCGGAAUGAAAUCGGGCGGUGAUGGUGGUUUUGCUCGGUGGAAUUUCAAUGGAUCAAUCGGCAUGCACGGAAUAAUAGCCACCCUCGGGAGUGGAUCGAAUCAAAUGAUUGAUCAAGCCAUAACAAAUCAAAAGCAAAUGGAUCUAAGAUAAGAAUUGGAUAGAAAAUUUACCAAUUUGCGAACCGAAACGCAGUAGAAAUUGUCCUUACGCGAAUCCAAAGAGCAAGUCAUUUGAAAUCAAUCGCUGGAAUCCCUGUCAGGUUACUGGACGGCGGAGAUUAAUCCGAUUUAGACACCGUGAAGAGGAAAGAAAGAGAAAUAGCAAACAAGAGAAAUGUUAGAGAGAGAGGGAGAUAAUUUAGAGCGACAAGGAC
RNAcentral lists this unclassified non-coding RNA (472 nucleotides) under Hevea brasiliensis (rubber tree). Lineage: Eukaryota; Viridiplantae; Streptophyta; Magnoliopsida; Malpighiales; Euphorbiaceae. The record is from RNAcentral.